UAGUUUGGAUAAUAAGCUUUUUAGAUAGGAAACUCAAUGAGAAUAUUACUGAUUGAAGGUCAUGAUAUAUAACAAGCAUGAGGAUAUAAAUGUUAUAUACAAUGUUGUUGUGUUUGGUUGAUAGUGAAUCUAAUGAACCGGGGGAAUGAAA
Molecule: microRNA precursor, 151 nt
Filed under: Glycine max (soybean)
Lineage: Eukaryota; Viridiplantae; Streptophyta; Magnoliopsida; Fabales; Fabaceae
Description: miR5040 stem-loop (gma-MIR5040)
Source: miRBase by way of RNAcentral